GGUAUAGCUUAAGGACAAGAGGACUGUGGUCCAAACCUAUUGCUGGAAGGGCAUGGACUUCCGCAUCAUGAAAGGGCUAGCCACCAGAGCCCAAUCUAUUCCUUCUGCAAGCAACUUCACUGGAGUCUCCAUCAUACUCGAGUCAUCUAUGAGAAUUGGAGAUGGUGCAGGGACUUCCAUAAUCUCCUGCUCCUUGGAAUUUUCUACUCGCUUAUUGCUGCAAGCUUCUAGUCUCAUUUCUGGGCCUUUCUCUCGUGCUAUUAUAUCCUGCUCCCUAGCUGGAGAUGAUACUGCGGG
Eucalyptus grandis is the source of this 297-nucleotide long non-coding RNA. RefSeq lists it as uncharacterized. The transcript has 3 exons. Lineage: Eukaryota; Viridiplantae; Streptophyta; Magnoliopsida; Myrtales; Myrtaceae. The record is from RefSeq and is a predicted model, not a curated record.